Molecule: long non-coding RNA, 330 nt
Organism: Salvia miltiorrhiza (redroot sage)
Lineage: Eukaryota; Viridiplantae; Streptophyta; Magnoliopsida; Lamiales; Lamiaceae
Exons: 3
Source: RefSeq, a predicted model, not a curated record
AAGGCUCUCUUCAAGGCAUUAAAUGCGAUUGAAACUCCCAAAGAUGUUCAGGAAAAGUUUGGCCGAACUGUGGUUGAAUCAUAUCUACUGUGAUAGGUUUACAAAGAAACAAUAUUAUCUGUGGAUAGAUUAAUCUCUUGAGCAUUUGGGAUGACCAAGCUUUUACUUUCUGAAUCGAGGUUAUAUAAUAGGGAAAACAAACGACGCAGUGCCGGUGGCAAAAAGAUGCUGAAAGGAGAACCACUUUGCUUUUCUUUUUGAAAUGUGGAAUCAAAAUUGCUGAAAUUGAGGAGCAUAAUCAAUAAAAUGCUUUUAGUUUUGCAUAGUGAA